AACGGCGAGUGAAGCGGUAAAAGCUCAAAUUUGAAAUCUGGUACUUUCAGUGCCCGAGUUGUAAUUUGUAGAAUUUGUCUUUGAUUAGGUCCUUGUCUAUGUUCCUUGGAACAGGACGUCAUAGAGGGUGAGAAUCCCGUUUGGCGAGGAUACCUUUUCUCUGUAAGACUUUUUCGAAGAGUCGAGUUGUUUGGGAAUGCAGCUCAAAGUGGGUGGUAAAUUCCAUCUAAAGCUAAAUAUUGGCGAGAGACCGAUAGCGAACAAGUACAGUGAUGGAAAGAUGAAAAGAACUUUGAAAAGAGAGUGAAAAAGUACGUGAAAUUGUUGAAAGGGAAGGGCAUUUGAUCAGACAUGGUGUUUUUUGCAUGCACUCGCCUCUCGUGGGCUUGGGCCUCUCAAAAAUUUCACUGGGCCAACAUCAAUUCUGGCAGCAGGAUAAAUCAUUAAGAAUGUAGCUACUUCGGUAGUGUUAUAGCUUUUUGGAAUACUGUUAGCCGGGAUUGAGGACUGCGCUUCGGCAAGGAUGUUGGCAUAAUGGUUAAAUGCCGCCCGUCUUGAAACACGGAC
Molecule: ribosomal RNA, 567 nt
Filed under: Hanseniaspora uvarum
Lineage: Eukaryota; Fungi; Ascomycota; Saccharomycetes; Saccharomycodales; Saccharomycodaceae
Description: partial large subunit ribosomal RNA
Rfam family: Eukaryotic large subunit ribosomal RNA
Source: RNAcentral